This 508-nucleotide ribosomal RNA is filed under the name uncultured bacterium. RNAcentral's name for it is "partial 16S ribosomal RNA". It matches the Rfam family "Bacterial small subunit ribosomal RNA", at positions 28 to 523 of the family's 1533-position model. The record is from RNAcentral.
GAUGAACGCUAGCUACAGGCUUAACACAUGCAAGUCGAGGGGAAACGACAUCGAAAGCUUGCUUUUGAUGGGCGUCGACCGGCGCACGGGUGAGUAACGCGUAUCCAACCUGCCCACCACUUGGGGAUAACCUUGCGAAAGUAAGACUAAUACCCAAUGACGUCUCUAGAAGACAUCUGAAAGAGAUUAAAGAUUUAUCGGUGAUGGAUGGGGAUGCGUCUGAUUAGCUUGUUGGCGGGGUAACGGCCCACCAAGGCGACGAUCAGUAGGGGUUCUGAAAGGAAGGUCCCCCACAUUGGAACUGGGACACGGUCCAAACUCCUACGGGAGGCAGCAGUGAGGAAUAUUGGUCAAUGGGCGAGAGCCUGAACCAGCCAAGUAGCGUGCAGGAUGACGGCCCUAUGGGUUGUAAACUGCUAUUAUAAGGGAAUAAAGUGAGUCUCGUGAGACUUUUUGCAUGUACCUUAUGAAUAAGGACCGGCUAAUUCCGUGCCAGCCGCCGCCGUAA